CCUCGGCACAGUGGCACACGCCUGUAGUCCCAGCUACUCAGGAGGCUGAGGCUGGGGGAUCACUUGAGUCCAGGAGUUCUAGGCUGUAGUGCACUAUGCUGAUUAGGUGUCCGACCUAAGUUCAGCAUCAGUAUUGUGACCUCCCGGGAGCAGGGGACCACCAGAUUGCCUACGGAGGAGUGAACCAGCCCAGGUUGGAAGCAGAGCAGGUCAAAAUUCCCGUGCUGAUCAGUAGCAGGAUUGCGCCUGUGAAUAGCCACUGCACUCCAACCUAGGCAACAUAACGAGACCCCAUCUCU
Molecule: signal recognition particle RNA, 299 nt
Filed under: Saimiri boliviensis boliviensis (Bolivian squirrel monkey)
Lineage: Eukaryota; Metazoa; Chordata; Mammalia; Primates; Cebidae
Description: Metazoan signal recognition particle RNA (ENSSBOG00000007390.1)
Rfam family: Metazoan signal recognition particle RNA
About the family: The signal recognition particle (SRP) is a universally conserved ribonucleoprotein. It is involved in the co-translational targeting of proteins to membranes. The eukaryotic SRP consists of a 300-nucleotide 7S RNA and six proteins: SRPs 72, 68, 54, 19, 14, and 9.
Source: RNAcentral